RNAcentral lists this ribosomal RNA (822 nucleotides) under Prevotella sp. NAIP6I. Its description in RNAcentral is "bacterial SSU rRNA". It matches the Rfam family "Bacterial small subunit ribosomal RNA", at positions 266 to 1097 of the family's 1533-position model. Lineage: Bacteria; Pseudomonadati; Bacteroidota; Bacteroidia; Bacteroidales; Prevotellaceae. The record is from RNAcentral.
CACCAAGGCGACGAUCAGUAGGGGUUCUGAGAGGAAGGUCCCCCACAUUGGAACUGAGACACGGUCCAAACUCCUACGGGAGGCAGCAGUGAGGAAUAUUGGUCAAUGGACGAGAGUCUGAACCAGCCAAGUAGCGUGCAGGAUGACGGCCCUAUGGGUUGUAAACUGCUUUUAUACGGGGAUAAAAGGUGUCACGUGUGACAUUUUGCAGGUACCGUAUGAAUAAGGACCGGCUAAUUCCGUGCCAGCAGCCGCGGUAAUACGGAAGGUCCGGGCGUUAUCCGGAUUUAUUGGGUUUAAAGGGAGCGUAGGCUGCCGGUUAAGUGUGUUGUGAAAUGCAGGCGCUCAACGUCUGCCUUGCAGCGCAUACUGUCCGGCUUGAGUACGCACAACGUUGGCGGAAUUCGUCGUGUAGCGGUGAAAUGCUUAGAUAUGACGAAGAACUCCGAUCGCGAAGGCAGCUGACGGGAGCGUUACUGACGCUGAAGCUCGAAAGUGCGGGUAUCGAACAGGAUUAGAUACCCUGGUAGUCCGCACGGUAAACGAUGGAUGCCCGCUGUUUGUCCUCAAGGAUAAGCGGCCAAGCGAAAGCAUUAAGCAUCCCACCUGGGGAGUACGCCGGCACGGUUAAACUCAAGGAAUUGACGGGGGCCCGCACAAGCGGAGGAACAUGUGGUUUAAUUCGAUGAUACGCGAGGAACCUUACCCGGGCCUGCAUUGCAGAGACGAUCAGAGAUCGCUGAGGUCCUUCGGGACCUCCUGUGAGGUGCUGCAUGUUGUCGUCAGCUCGUGCCGUGAGUGUCGCUUAAGUGCCAUACGAGC